UUCGCUAGUAAUCGCGCAUCAGCCAUGGCGCGGUGAAUACGUUCCCGGGCCUUGUACACACCGCCCGUCAAGCCAUGGGAGCCGGGGGUACCUGAAGUCCGUAACCGCGAGGAUCGGCCUAGGGUAAAACUGGUGACUGGGGCUAAGUCGUAACAAGGUAGCCGUACCGGAAGGUGCGGCUGGAACACCUCCUUUCUGGAGCUU
This 204-nucleotide ribosomal RNA is filed under the name Escherichia coli. RNAcentral describes it as "partial 16S ribosomal RNA". It matches the Rfam family "Bacterial small subunit ribosomal RNA", at positions 1331 to 1533 of the family's 1533-position model. Lineage: Bacteria; Pseudomonadati; Pseudomonadota; Gammaproteobacteria; Enterobacterales; Enterobacteriaceae. RNAcentral also lists the same sequence under 1 other name. The record is from RNAcentral.